CCGAGUUAGGGUCUCCUCCGUGAGACCCGACCUCCCAACCCCGUGUCUAAUAAACCUGUUUGUGUUGCUUCGGCGGAACGGCAGUCGUUCCGGACCCCCCUUCACCGGGGACGAAGGACAACCGUCGCCGGGGGAUUGCACGGUCUCGCGACCGUCCCCUGGAGAGCGUCCGCCGAUGGCCCCAACCAAAACAACUACCAAACCCAAAUCAUGGAACUAAAAUUUUCUGAAUCAGACCUUUUGAUAUACCAAUCAAAAACA
Molecule: unclassified non-coding RNA, 261 nt
Filed under: uncultured Trimmatostroma
Lineage: Eukaryota; Fungi; Ascomycota; Dothideomycetes; Mycosphaerellales; Mycosphaerellaceae
Description: sequence contains ITS1
Source: RNAcentral